This 497-nucleotide ribosomal RNA is filed under the name uncultured bacterium. Its description in RNAcentral is "partial 16S ribosomal RNA". It matches the Rfam family "Bacterial small subunit ribosomal RNA", at positions 28 to 507 of the family's 1533-position model. The record is from RNAcentral.
GAUGAACGCUGGCGGCGUGCCUAAUACAUGCAAGUCGAGCGAACAGAUGAGGAGCUUGCUCCUCUGACGUUAGCGGCGGACGGGUGAGUAACACGUGGAUAACCUACCUAUAAGACUGGGAUAACUUCGGGAAACCGGAGCUAAUACCGGAUAAUAUAUUGAACCGCAUGGUUCAAUAGUGAAAGACGGCUUUGCUGUCACUUAUAGAUGGUUCCGCGCCGCAUUAGCUAGUUGGUAAGGUAACGGCUUACCAAGGCAACGAUGCGUAGCCGACCUGAGAGGAUGAUCGGCCACACUGGAACUGAGACACGGUCCAGACUCCUACGGGAGGCAGCAGUAGGGAAUCUUCCGCAAUGGGCGAAAGCCUGACGGAGCAACGCCGCGUGAGUGAUGAAGGUCUUCGGAUCGUAAAACUCUGUUAUUAGGGAAGAACAAAUGUGUAAGUAACUAUGCACGUCUUGACGGUACCUAAUCAGAAAGCCACGGCUAACUACGUG